RNAcentral lists this long non-coding RNA (280 nucleotides) under Nicotiana benthamiana. Its description in RNAcentral is "long non-coding RNA (NBEN_LNC001587)". Lineage: Eukaryota; Viridiplantae; Streptophyta; Magnoliopsida; Solanales; Solanaceae. The record is from RNAcentral.
AAACUCUAGGAGCCCCUAUCCUACAACCCUGAUACUAGACCUUCACACUUUCCUAUCAAGGGUCAUGUCCUCGGAAACCCGCAUUCUAGUCAUGUCACGCCUAAUCACCUCUCCCCAAUACCUCUUAGGCCUCCCUCUGCCUCGCCGAACGCUGACAAUCGUCAGCCGCUCACAACUCCUCACCGGGGCAUCAGGACUUCUCCUCCGCACAUGGCCAAACCACCUCAGGCUCGCUUCUCGCAUCUUCUCAUCCACCGGGGCCACCCCCACCUUCUCUCGA